RNAcentral lists this ribosomal RNA (497 nucleotides) under uncultured bacterium. RNAcentral's name for it is "partial 16S ribosomal RNA". It matches the Rfam family "Bacterial small subunit ribosomal RNA", at positions 28 to 507 of the family's 1533-position model. The record is from RNAcentral.
GAUGAACGCUGGCGGCGUGCCUAAUACAUGCAAGUCGAGCGAACAGACGAGGAGCUUGCUCCUCUGACGUUAGCGGCGGACGGGUGAGUAACACGUGGAUAACCUACCUAUAAGACUGGGAUAACUUCGGGAAACCGGAGCUAAUACCGGAUAAUAUAUUGAACCGCAUGGUUCAAUAGUGAAAGACGGUCUUGCUGUCACUUACAGAUGGAUCCGCGCUGCAUUAGCUAGUUGGUAAGGUAACGGCUUACCAAGGCAACGAUGCGUAGCCGACCUGAGAGGGUGAUCGGCCACACUGGAACUGAGACACGGUCCAGACUCCUACGGGAGGCAGCAGUAGGGAAUCUUCCGCAAUGGGCGAAAGCCUGACGGAGCAACGCCGCGUGAGUGAUGAAGGUCUUCGGAUCGUAAAACUCUGUUAUUAGGGAAGAACAUAUGUGUAAGUAACUGUGCACGUCUUGACGGUACCUAAUCAGAAAGCCACGGCUAACUACGUG